GCUGGGCAUGGUAGCUCAUGCCUGUAAUCUCAACUACUUAGGAGGCCGAGGUGGGAGAAUCGCUUGAGCCCAGGAGUUUAAGACCAGCCUGGGCAACAUACUGAGACUCCAUCUCUU
This is an unclassified non-coding RNA of Macaca fascicularis (crab-eating macaque), 117 nucleotides long. It matches the Rfam family "Metazoan signal recognition particle RNA". From Rfam's summary of the family: The signal recognition particle (SRP) is a universally conserved ribonucleoprotein. It is involved in the co-translational targeting of proteins to membranes. The record is from Ensembl. Lineage: Eukaryota; Metazoa; Chordata; Mammalia; Primates; Cercopithecidae.